Venturia canescens is the source of this 5360-nucleotide long non-coding RNA. RefSeq lists it as uncharacterized. NCBI's taxonomy places the organism in Eukaryota, Metazoa, Arthropoda, Insecta, Hymenoptera, Ichneumonidae. The record is from RefSeq and is a predicted model, not a curated record. The transcript has 3 exons.
UUUUCACAUAACCGUACUUUUAUGCGGACGAAACGCUCGGCUAACCGACUCCGUGCUAUUGAAAUUAGACAUUUUUAUUGUGGUAUGAUGAAACGUGAUGCCGACAGUUACAGCGCAAUUUCGAUUGUCCUCUCGCUCUCUCUCUCUCUGUACUGUUAUUGUAAUGAUUUACUUAUUCAUUCAAAUUACUUUUUCCCUAUUAUUUAUUUUAAGUAGAUUUCUGACUGAAUCAGCUGCGCAUCGGCACUGCUUUUUCUACGAUUCUGAUUGGUCCGCUGCGACAUUUUCUCUGUUCCCAAAUCUUACGACAGCUGUUGUUGAUCGCAACUGAAAUUCGUUCUUGAAAACUCGUACAUGAGAGAAAACAACAGCGAAGAAUGAUUUUUCUCAACAAAUUUUGCGAGGAGGAAUAUUCUGUUAAACCUUGAGAGAGGGACGAAGUUCAUUCGUUGAAAAAUAUCGAUUUUUCGGAAUGUUAUUCACGGAGGAUAAAAACUCGGACGCAGAACAUUUUAUUUGCUUGACCUUAAGCCUUAAGGCCACUUCUGACGCGAGCGACGCUUCGACUGGAGAAAAAAUGUUCAUCGUUCAUCGCGAUUUGGAUGGAAAUUGGAAUUGCCCGAUUUGCUGACAAUGAGUGAAUGUUCAACGGACGAUGAAGUACCAACUCCAUUUCUACGUGUGAAAAUCAACUUUAAGGACGAUCCUCACGAAAGAUUUGGCAAUUCCGUAAAUUCGUCCGAUUUCGUGAAAAUCCAUUGUCAAAGCGUCUGUUUCUUCGGGAGUUUGAGCAUCGACAGCGACAAAUGAGGAAUCGCACAGUCGGCGCGGUGAACGGAGGCCUUAGCAGCAACGCCCCUUUUAAAUGCAAAAAAAGAAAAAUAAUGAAAUGCGCGCGCAUUUCAUAUGAAUAAGCGAGCGUUUUUGCGUACACGCGAACGCCGGGACCUACAUAUUUCUUCUUCUGCGAGCUCGCGCGAGCUCGCGCGCGUACACCAGCAAGAGAGAAACGGAAUUAGAUAAGACUCGCCCACGAGCACGAUUGUCCCCGUUUUCAACCACACGACUCAUUGAUUUCUUCUUCGUGCCAAGUCCACGUCCUCAAGAGAAACUCGUUUUUCAUACGGCAAAGGAUGUCCAAGGGCGUCCACUUCGAUGCUAGACGUGCAUUCUGUGCUCGUUACAUAAAAACGUUCGUACACUCCUCGACAAGGUGGAUUUUAUUGUAGUUAUCACUGUAUUGCUUCGAGACGGAGUUUCGGAGGGGGGAGCGAGGGAGAAUAGAAACUAAGAAAUCGUUUCGCUUCCCUCGACAUACGACGAGAUUCUAAUACAGCGUUUUUGACGCUCUCGAUCGUACGUCACCGGCAUUACGAGGUAAUUGACGACUAUGCGGAAGUUUCAUCUUCAUUCGCGAUGCAAAUUAAUGAUGUUUUUCGUAUCAAGUAACACGCGAUCCGGGCUCUCCAAUUCCGGUGCAAAUAUUCCUUCGAAUCGCGAUACUAUACAAAGUUUCAUUGGUAUUUCGAUGAGUAGAAAUUGAGAGGAUGCAGGAGAUAAAACAUUGUGGCGAUCGUUACGAUUUAAACGAGUUUUUCUUCGUCUCUGCGCAAGGCCCACUCGCGGCUAUUCUUUUUUGGGAUGAACUUUGACAAUCCAACGAAAUAUUUCAUCGGAUUAUUCGAUCGAAACGGCUUACGGAGUGACGUUUUUUUCAAUUUUCUUAAAUACGUGAUAAAAACUUGUUUUUUCUUUAAAUUUCAUUAAUCGUAGCAGUUCUGAAAACACAUUGAGUCCUUUCACUUCCUUUGUGUAUAAAUAAACAUUCGCGCGUAUGCUCCGAUCGACCGAUUUAGUGUCGAUCUACCGGAGCGAGAGUGACGCAGGCCUGAAUAUUCGAAUCGAGCACGAAGACGGUUGUUCGUGAAUUUACUGUUUGAAAUAAAUCCAGGAAACGCGACUCGGUGCUGAGACGUUGAAUGCUCGUUUACAUUCACAAAUAACAAAUGGACCGAGUGGAUCUCGAGUCCCUCGCCGUGCCCCGGAGGCUGGGUGUGCAAUCAGCUGGAUCUUUGCCCUCGAAAUAUCUCCGGAAUCGUCCGGGAACUCGAAUUGCUUUAGAAUCUUACGAAGAGCCUGCGAUCUGAAGUAAUUUCGUUCCUAUUCCGGCGCGCUUAUAACUCGGGUGGGAAGAAAAAACGGGAAAAAACGUGGGCGAUAAGAGAAACGUAAAGCUUGAGAUUAGGCGCAGCAAGUUUAUCGAUCGCGAGAUCGAUUGCCGAUAGCUACUUGGGCUUGGGGAACAAAGAAAAAGAGCGAGAGAAACGAUCGCGGUCUCUUUACCGCGCUCGUUAAUCGUAUUCUGCGAAGGACUGAAACGUCGCGCGUGUUCGCCAACAGAGCACAGCGCAGAGAUACAUCAAAGAGCUCGAGAAUGUCUCACAGCUUUAUCCUCGAUCUGGCGAGGCUGCACCUCCUCGUGCUAACAAGAAAAGUAUGCACAAAAAAAUGUAAUGGGACGGGAGCGCGCGCAAAAUCGCGUCCUACAAAGACGCAACUUCUAUGACGAUUCGAUAUCUCACGCGGUCCGGACCGCGCAGCGGAGGAUAGCGACGCGAGGACACUUCUCUUCCUUUCAGACUCUCAUCAACGCCGGAGAACACGGGGAAUAGUUAAUCAGUGCAUAACUUCGUAGAGGCUCUUCCACGCGAAGUCGUUCUUGGGCAUUCUCAAAUAUCUCGGGGGAGACUGCUUCGACACUUUUUCGAGGUUCGGCGACUCGGAAACUCCGGCGAUUCUGUGGGCCCGCACCGAUAUUUUGAGGGAAUCUUUCGUAGCAAAAAACACUGACGAAAUGUUUUGAUUUACUCGCAUUGUUAUGCAACUGACAGCAAAAAGUGGUGUUGCGAAGAGAUUUUUUAGUAGGGAAUUGCACACGCGGGGGCAUUCGUUUUACGGCCGUUUCCUCGCGCUCCGACCGUUUCGGCAAUGCGCACGAAAAAGUGGCGCGUGACUCACAACUUUACAUAAAUUAAUAACCCUCCGCGGACGGAAGCCGAAUCGACAACGUUGCUGAACUUUUCGUCGCACGAAAUACGUUCCGAAGCUUUCGCAGAAUGGACAACUCGUAUUCAAUUAUUCCGAAUUGAAGCUCACGCGAAUGGCGAAACAAAAAUAAAAGUCGAUUCUUCAAAAAACCGAUUAAAAUUCGUCGCAAUUACAAAUUUAAAUGCAUUCAAUGGUCAAACAAAAUCAAGUCAAUUUCUCGAAAAAACAGUCGGUCAAAUUCGCCUAAACUUCGCAAUGCAAUGGUCACCUUCGGGGCCAAUGAAAAUUGGAGCUUUCAAAAAUAUUCAAUUCACCUCUAACAAGGUGCCAAAAGAGAAACGUAUUGUUGAGUCGUUUCCUUCGUAUUUUGCACAAAGUCAACGAAACAUCGAGCAACUGUUCUACUAGAACGUUUUUCUUCCGAUGCCUCAAUUUUCAAGCCACUCCGAAUCAAUCGAGCCGGAGAAAAGAAAUUGACGAGAAUUAAAACAGUUGUGAAGCUCCGCUGAAUCGUUGACCAGAGAAAAUACCCGAAAAUUCCUAAAAAGUACGAUCUUUGUGGUAAGAAAAUGACGAAUUCUUAAUACGUUGAGGCUUUCGGAAUGAAAACUCAACGUGAAAUGUCUCAUACAUAUAAUUUGUGUGUACUUCGAAAACACGUAUUAUAUAGGAGCGACGUGAGCAGGUGCGUCUUGAGCCAGCUGUAGUUGUGCGUCCAGCGAGGAAAAAAAAACGAGAAUGGGUUCUUAUUAUGCGGAGGAACUUGUCCAUAAGACAGCAGUGACAGCAGAUUGCAUCUACGUAUUAGACAUAAUACAAUAAUUCAUCGUGCCAGUUAGACUUCUCUCUCGGUCUUAGAUUCAGUCCCAGUUGCAUGUACGAUUUCUGCAUCUGCAUAAAAAAACAAUGAGAGAAGAAAAAAAACCGAUUGCAAAAUGAAAGCAAAACAAAACGUAUUUUUCGCUGCAUUCAUGAAUAUCAAGUCGGUUACAGAAGCAUUUUUUCUCUGCAUUAUCUGUGAUAUCAAGGGACUCGCUUUUCUGCUGUAUUUUUUUUAGUUCGAUAUUUCACUCGAUUUUCGAUGAUGCGCACGCAACGUUCAAUGGAACUGUUCACCUUCUUGGUGCGAAGCAGCGAAAAUAUAAAUCGAUGCAUCCGAUGUGUGACAUUCAUGGCGGCUUUUUGUGCGACGGGAACGAUCAAUUUCUUUUUUUUUCUUCACAGUCUCGGUUGAUGUCAUACGUGGCUUGAAAAAAAAGGGGACGGGAAUAAAGUAGAAAUCAUCCGAGACGGUGGCGAAGAAAAUAUCGGUUUUUUCAUUCUUCAUAGAAUACUGCAAGACUACGAGUCAUUAAUGUGAUUUAUUAAGAUUCUUGCAAGUGCAGACCGUUUUUUUACCGACCGCGAUCGGAGGAUUGUCCAUUGGAAGAAACUCUGUUCCCGCACCGUCGACGCGUGAACGACUUUUGAAAGUACCGGAAAUCGUUUUCCCGGCAACAUUAAAACACCCCACGAAAAUAUUCUUUCGUCCUUAUUAUAUACAGCGACGAUAGGCACUCACCGACUGAUUAACUCAGUCGGUAAGCUUCGAUCCCUCCGGCGUUGUCGUGGCUUUUUCAUUCCAUUUCUUUCGACUCUUCGUUGCUCCCUCCUCAUUGAACCUUCAUAGGAAAUAAAAACGAAAAUAAAAUGCAGCAAAAAAUAAUGACGAGUUGGUUACCGAUGGGACCGGCCCGUCGAUUAUUCAUUUCCGUGCCUCGGACGACGCCGUGAAACUUUAACGUCGGUAGAACAGUUUUGGGACGAAUUCGAGUCAGCGUGGAAGAAAAAAGCUUUCGCAGGGAUUCGUAUUUAUCGAUAUUAAUAUUUUCCUCGAGACGAAAAAUUUUACGUUUUCUCGGACGUUCCGUUGCGAAAAUUUUGAGGAAAAGCGGUGAAGAUGCAACCGCACAUUUCACAGCGUUAAAACUCACGAUCGUUUGCACAGCCAACGCAGUGAAUUGUCAACAUUUCUUUGAGCACUUCACACGAUUCAAAGCCGUAUAGAUGAGAAAUUUAUAUUCGCGGCAUGGUAAAAAUAAAACGAACGAACAUUCGGCGAUUUCGAGUUCGAUUAUAUUGUGGUUCGGUAACUGGGUAGCCGGUCCGACGAAAAAAGUUGUUGCGUCUGUCGGUCGAGCACGGAAAAAAACGAAUUCAGCCAAAAAACGAAUAACAGCUAAAAUUGUAUCGAACAAAGAGAAUUGCCCACUCGAUACUCGCUCGAAUCUAUAGUAAUAUCGAUGCAUUUUGAAAAAGCCGGUUAUUCAUGU